Molecule: long non-coding RNA, 285 nt
Organism: Passer montanus (Eurasian tree sparrow)
Lineage: Eukaryota; Metazoa; Chordata; Aves; Passeriformes; Passeridae
Exons: 3
Source: RefSeq, a predicted model, not a curated record
CUAAAAUUGGGUUUAUAUGUCCUUCCAUUUCAGGAGAGAGGAGCUGGGGGCAUGUGUUGCAAUGAGCAGCUACAGACUGGAGCCUGAUAUUGAAAUGGGAAUUUCACGAGACUGAAACAAUAUUGCACUGUCACGAGAGGGAGUGCAGUAGGAACAUCACUGGUUGAGAAUGCUGAGUCCAGAAAAUUUUGGCUUUCAUGCUCACACCUCAGACACACCACAAGGAAGAAACCUGGCUUGUUCUUCAAUUAUCAACAAUUCAUCAUCAAUUGCAGCAGGAUGGGC